CAAUAAACCUGAUAGAACGGAAAGCCCGGAGCGAAGUAUGAGUGAGGACUUGGAGGGAUAGCAGGACUACAG
RNAcentral lists this unclassified non-coding RNA (72 nucleotides) under Pedobacter soli. RNAcentral's name for it is "Flavo-1 RNA". Lineage: Bacteria; Pseudomonadati; Bacteroidota; Sphingobacteriia; Sphingobacteriales; Sphingobacteriaceae. The record is from RNAcentral.